RNAcentral lists this ribosomal RNA (496 nucleotides) under uncultured bacterium. Its description in RNAcentral is "partial 16S ribosomal RNA". It matches the Rfam family "Bacterial small subunit ribosomal RNA", at positions 28 to 523 of the family's 1533-position model. The record is from RNAcentral.
GAUGAACGCUAGCGGCAGGCUUAACACAUGCAAGUCGAGGGGUAGAGGUUGCUUGCAACCUUGAGACCGGCGCACGGGUGCGUAACGCGUAUGCAACCUACCUUUUACAGAGGGAUAGCCCAGAGAAAUUUGGAUUAAUACCUCAUAGUAUAUAACCUUCGCAUGUUGGUUAUAUUAAAGUUCCAACGGUAAAAGAUGGGCAUGCGUCCUAUUAGCUAGAUGGUAAGGUAACGGCUUACCAUGGCAACGAUAGGUAGGGGUCCUGAGAGGGAGAUCCCCCACAAUGGUACUGGGACACGGACCAGACUCCUACGGGAGGCAGCAGUGAGGAAGAUUGGACAAUGGGCGCAAGCCUGAUCCAGCCAUGCCGCGUGAAGGAAGAAGCAUCUAUGGUGUGUAAACUGCUUUUGUACAGGAAGAAACACCCCGACGUGUCGGGGCUUGACGGUACUGUAAGAAUAAGGAUCGGCUAACUCCGUGCCAGCCGCCGCGGUAA